GGGCAAGUAGUUCACUGGUAGAACGCUUCUCUGAUAAGGAAGAAGUAGAUGGUUCGAUUCCAUCCUUGCCCACCA
RNAcentral lists this transfer RNA (75 nucleotides) under bacterium. Its description in RNAcentral is "tRNA-Ile". It matches the Rfam family "tRNA". From Rfam's summary of the family: Transfer RNA (tRNA) molecules are approximately 80 nucleotides in length. Their secondary structure includes four short double-helical elements and three loops (D, anti-codon, and T loops). Further hydrogen bonds mediate the characteristic L-shaped molecular structure. tRNAs have two regions of fundamental functional importance: the anti-codon, which is responsible for specific mRNA codon recognition, and the 3' end, to which the tRNAs corresponding amino acid is attached (by aminoacyl-tRNA synthetases). tRNAs cope with the degeneracy of the genetic code in two manners: having more than one tRNA (with a specific anti-codon) for a particular amino acid; and 'wobble' base-pairing, i.e. permitting non-standard base-pairing at the 3rd anti-codon position. The record is from RNAcentral.